AAACUUCCAAAUAUUGAAUUAUAAGCAGCCCACAGUCCAAAAGAGGGGUUGGAGAGAGGCAGCUGGAGCUGACCGUGGUCAUCCUUCCAUAGCAGUUGUGGUCCUUGGAAAAGUUUUCUGGUGGGAGACAAAAAUCUGCCUUCCUGAAAUUUCCACCCUGUGGUUCCAGCCUGCUGGCUGCAGCAGCCAUUCUGAAAGCAGAGAUUUGCCCUUGGCUCCCUGAAUAUCACUUUCUGGGGUUGAGAGGUCACAUGCUGUGGAGGAAGCCAGACGCCAUGUUGUGAAGGCACGCAAACAGCCUACAGAGGUCCACAUGGUGA
This 320-nucleotide long non-coding RNA is filed under the name Homo sapiens (human). RNAcentral describes it as "HSALNT0266783". The record is from RNAcentral. Lineage: Eukaryota; Metazoa; Chordata; Mammalia; Primates; Hominidae.